CUGGGUGUAUUGUCAGUCCGGUCAGACGGCCCGCCUUGGAAGCGGGAGGACGCAGGUUCAAAUCCUGCCGCCCAGACCA
This 79-nucleotide transfer RNA is filed under the name Burkholderiaceae bacterium. Its description in RNAcentral is "tRNA-Pro". It matches the Rfam family "tRNA". Rfam says of the family: Transfer RNA (tRNA) molecules are approximately 80 nucleotides in length. Their secondary structure includes four short double-helical elements and three loops (D, anti-codon, and T loops). Further hydrogen bonds mediate the characteristic L-shaped molecular structure. tRNAs have two regions of fundamental functional importance: the anti-codon, which is responsible for specific mRNA codon recognition, and the 3' end, to which the tRNAs corresponding amino acid is attached (by aminoacyl-tRNA synthetases). tRNAs cope with the degeneracy of the genetic code in two manners: having more than one tRNA (with a specific anti-codon) for a particular amino acid; and 'wobble' base-pairing, i.e. permitting non-standard base-pairing at the 3rd anti-codon position. Lineage: Bacteria; Pseudomonadati; Pseudomonadota; Betaproteobacteria; Burkholderiales; Burkholderiaceae. The record is from RNAcentral.